This 635-nucleotide ribosomal RNA is filed under the name uncultured bacterium. Its description in RNAcentral is "bacterial SSU rRNA". It matches the Rfam family "Bacterial small subunit ribosomal RNA", at positions 211 to 842 of the family's 1533-position model. The record is from RNAcentral.
GACCCCGGUCAUGGAUGGGCAUGCGGCGCAUUAGGUAGUUGGUGGGGCAACGGCCCACCAAGCCGACGAUGCGUAGGGGUUCUGAGAGGAAGGUCCCCCACAUUGGAACUGAGACACGGUCCAAACUCCUACGGGAGGCAGCAGUGAGGAAUAUUGGUCAAUGGCCGGAAGGCUGAACCAGCCAAGUCGCGUGAGGGAAUAAGGCCCUACGGGUCGUAAACCUCUUUUGCCAGGGAGCAAUGCCGUCCACGUGUGGACGGAAGGAGAGUACCUGGAGAAAAAGCAUCGGCUAACUCCGUGCCAGCAGCCGCGGUAAUACGGAGGAUGCGAGCGUUAUCCGGAUUUAUUGGGUUUAAAGGGUGCGUAGGCGGCCUGCCAAGUCAGCGGUAAAAUUGCGGGGCUCAACCCCGUACAGCCGUUGAAACUGCCGGGCUCGAGUGGGCGAGAAGUAUGCGGAAUGCGUGGUGUAGCGGUGAAAUGCAUAGAUAUCACGCAGAACCCCGAUUGCGAAGGCAGCAUACCGGCGCCCGACUGACGCUGAGGCACGAAAGUGCGGGGAUCAAACAGGAUUAGAUACCCUGGUAGUCCGCACAGUAAACGAUGAAUGCUAGCUGUCCGGGGGGAUUGACCCCUGG